Molecule: small RNA, 669 nt
Filed under: Histoplasma capsulatum var. duboisii H88
Lineage: Eukaryota; Fungi; Ascomycota; Eurotiomycetes; Onygenales; Ajellomycetaceae
Description: Histoplasma capsulatum H88 hypothetical RNA
Source: RNAcentral
ACGGCCUUUUUUCCCUUACUAGCAUUAUUUUUCCUACCAGCUUCCUGAGAGAAUAACUGAUAUCAGGUUCAAAAUUCUAAACAUACUAGUUAUCCAUAUCUGCCAUUAACUUCUGGCUGGCUGUUGUCAUUAGAAACCCGGUGCCGUUCUUGCUUAUUGCCGCCUGACAACAUGUGUUUAGUAACUAACCAGUUAGAUCCAUCUCGGAUCGAGAAUUGAAUCGACAUAGAUAUUAACAUGACGAACAGUUGAACGGCGGAGGCAAGCAGAAGGCUGGAUUUAGUUUGGAAGACCCUUAGUAAUUGUGAUAAGGGGUUUGGAGCGAUGGCGGAAUAUUGGGAAUGAGACUGGCUGGGGGGGGGGCCAAUGGUGUAUAUGGUUUGAAAACAAUUCUAUAAUAGCUAUUAUUUAUUUGCGUGUCUAUUUUCUCUUUCUCAGCCUAUCAUAUUUGGAGAGAUGGGACACUCCGAAUCGUGCAUGGUCAGACAGUAUCUCGUUAUUCAGAAUUUCUCGUGCUAGAGAAACGCGGAUAAUCUGAUGGCAAGCAUGAUUAUAUGUAACAGAAUUCUGUUAUUUUAUAUGAGGAUUGGUCAAAGAACUGCCAAGAUCUCGUCGACCCUCUUCCGAACCCGCUUCAGCUCACCACUAUGCUGGUUAAACACGUGCAUG